AGUGAACGCUGGCGGUAGGCCUAACACAUGCAAGUCGAACGGCAGCACAGUAAGAGCUUGCUCUUACGGGUGGCGAGUGGCGGACGGGUGAGGAAUACAUCGGAAUCUACUUUUUCGUGGGGGAUAACGUAGGGAAACUUACGCUAAUACCGCAUACGACCUACGGGUGAAAGCAGGGGAUCUUCGGACCUUGCGCGAUUGAAUGAGCCGAUGUCGGAUUAGCUAGUUGGCGGGGUAAAGGCCCACCAAGGCGACGAUCCGUAGCUGGUCUGAGAGGAUGAUCAGCCACACUGGAACUGAGACACGGUCCAGACUCCUACGGGAGGCAGCAGUGGGGAAUAUUGGACAAUGGGCGCAAGCCUGAUCCAGCCAUACCGCGUGAGUGAAGAAGGCCUUCGGGUUGUAAAGCCCUUUUGUUGGGAAAGAAAAGCAGCAGGUUGAUACCCCGCUGUUCUGACGGUACCCAAAGAAUAAGCACCGGCUAACUUCGUG
RNAcentral lists this ribosomal RNA (492 nucleotides) under uncultured bacterium. RNAcentral's name for it is "partial 16S ribosomal RNA". It matches the Rfam family "Bacterial small subunit ribosomal RNA", at positions 29 to 507 of the family's 1533-position model. The record is from RNAcentral.